Molecule: long non-coding RNA, 393 nt
Organism: Gorilla gorilla gorilla (western lowland gorilla)
Lineage: Eukaryota; Metazoa; Chordata; Mammalia; Primates; Hominidae
Exons: 3
Source: RefSeq, a predicted model, not a curated record
CUGGAAGACAAUUUAAACUUCAAGCAGUAUUGACUUACCUAUGAAUCACUUAGUAUAUAUGAGCUUCUCAGAGAAGAAAUCAUAAACAUUGAGAGUUGCCAUGCAUAAUGAUGACCUUCAACACAUAUGAAAGAAAUCACCGAGAAUUGGAAGUUGGCUGAUAGAACUGACAUCAGAAAGACCAUUCAAAACGAAGAGCCAGUGUCAAGAUCCUGUAUACCCUUCCUGCCAUUACUCCCAAAGUAGCCUUUUCAUGGAUCCAGCUUUCAGGAUCUGUAAAGAGACACAACUGUUUUAUAGUUCGAUUGGAACUGGGGAGGAGUUUGAAAGAAUCACAGUAAGCCCUCUGGUCUUUUCCAGGAGGAUAAUCAACAACAUUGACUGAUUAUGUUU